Molecule: ribosomal RNA, 118 nt
Organism: Danio rerio (zebrafish)
Lineage: Eukaryota; Metazoa; Chordata; Actinopteri; Cypriniformes; Danionidae
Source: Ensembl
UUAGCCAGCAGAUAGCUCUCUGCAACUCUCACAUGGUUGCCCUCUGAAGAUAAGCGGGGCUGUGCCAGGUCAGUACCUGAAUAGGAGACCGCAUGGGAAAGCUAGGUUGCUGCCAGAA